UGCAGAAGAAGAAGAAUUUA
Molecule: small RNA, 20 nt
Filed under: Arabidopsis thaliana (thale cress)
Lineage: Eukaryota; Viridiplantae; Streptophyta; Magnoliopsida; Brassicales; Brassicaceae
Description: ATSL141760
Source: RNAcentral